AGCAGCCGCGGUAAUUCCAGCUCCAAUAGCGUAUAUUAAAGUUGUUGCAGUUAAAAAGCUCGUAGUUGAAUUUCGGGGUUCUACCGUUGGUCGGGCUAUUGUCUGUACUGGCGUGUAGAAUUUCUACCUUCUGGGGAACUAUCAUGUUAUUAAUUUAGCGUGGUAGGAAACCAGAACCUUUACCUUGAAAAAAUUAGAGUGUUUAAAGCAGGCUUAUGUCUGAAUACAUUAGCAUGGAAUAAUAAAAUAGGACGGUGGUCCUGUUUUGUUGGUUUCUGAAUCACCGUAAUGAUUAAUAGGGAUAGUUGGGGGCAUUAGUAUUCAAUUGUCAGAGGUGAAAUUCUUGGAUUUAUUGAAGACUAACUACUGCGAAAGCAUUUGCCAAGGAUGUUUUCAUUAAUCAAGAACGAAAGUUAGGGGAUCGAAGACGAUCAGAUACCGUCGUAGUCUUAACCAUAAACUAUGCUGACUAGGGGUCGGACGAUGUUAACUUUUCUUGACUCGUUCGGCGCCUUACGGG
Molecule: ribosomal RNA, 520 nt
Filed under: uncultured Scutellospora
Lineage: Eukaryota; Fungi; Glomeromycota; Glomeromycetes; Diversisporales; Gigasporaceae
Description: SSU rRNA
Rfam family: Eukaryotic small subunit ribosomal RNA
Source: RNAcentral